UUAGCUACAAUAUAGUCAUCUUUGGUGGUGUGGAUGGCUUUUCACGAAAGAUAAUGUACCUUGGAGCUGCCACUAAUAACCUCGCAGCAACUACCUUGGAUUUUUUUCAGGAAGCAGUAGAGACAUUUGGCUUUCCUCUCAGGGUACGAGGUGAUCAGGGGGUUGAGAAUGUGGAUGUGGCUCGCCUUAUGUUUACCGUUCGUGGAACUGGAAAGGGCAGCUUCAUUUCUGGAAAGAGCAUACACAAUCAGCGGCAAGUUUCAAUUUUUAAAUUUUUUUUCAUUCUUAGGAAUGUUUAUAAAUUUUUUUAAGAGUUGCACUGUUAUGUAAGAAUGUGUAAGAAUAUUACAUUUUAUUAGCAUUUUCCAUUCUCUUUAGUAUUGAGAGGCUGUGGAGAGACGUCUGGACAUCAGUAACAAAUGUUUACUAUGAUGUUUUACAUGGUUUGGAAGAAGGUGGCUACCUUGACAUUUCUGACCAUACUCACCUCUUCUGCUGCCACUAUGUAUUUCUUCCACGGCUUCAAGAUGAUCUUAAUCUUUUUCGAAACACUUGGGAUAAUCACACAAUACGCACAGAGGGUUGUAUGACUCCUAACCAGUUGUGGGUGAUGGGAAGCAUACGCAGUCCUGUACAAGAAUCUGACAUAGAGGGAUUGAGAAUACCCCACAUUGACUGGGAAAGUAGUGGCCUGUGUGUUGAUGGACACUCCAGCAUUGUUGUGCCUCCGACAGGAUGUCCCCUGACUGAGGAGCAACUGGUACUGCUCCAAGAAACUAUACAUCCCAAAAGACCUUCACAGACCUUUGGCUGGGACAUAUAUUUAGCUGCACUUGAUUUUUGCCAAUCUGUUCUAAUGGAAUAAUUGUGAAUUUCAUCUUCAUCUUGUGGAAAUAAAAAUGUAUACAAUCUAGUUACAAAUGAACAAUACUAUAUAUAACUGAAAAGAUGUAUGCUUUGGUUUUUAUAAAUUGGUUUAUAUAAAUAUAUUGAUGAGAUCUAGGCUGGAAAAUGCCAUUUACCUUGUACUAGUACUUGAUUGGCAUGCUUUGUUUAGUUCUGACUUCUAUCAUUAGCAAUUA
Molecule: non-coding RNA, 1082 nt
Organism: Danio rerio (zebrafish)
Lineage: Eukaryota; Metazoa; Chordata; Actinopteri; Cypriniformes; Danionidae
Source: RefSeq, a predicted model, not a curated record